CAGCACCGCGGUAAUACGAAGGGGGCUAGCGUUGUUCGGAAUUACUGGGCGUAGAGCGCGUGUAGGCGGGUCCUUAAGUCAGGGGUGAAAUGCCAAGGCUCAACCUUGGAACUGCCUUUGAUACUGGGGAUCUUGAGUCCGGGAGAGGUGAGUGGAACUGCGAGUGUAGAGGUGAAAUUCGUAGAUAUUCGCAAGAACACCAGUGGCGAAGGCGGCCCACUGGCCCGGAACUGACGCUGAGACGCGAAAGCGUGGGGAGCAAACAGGAUUAGAUACCCCCGUAGUCCCUGUCUCUUAUACA
This 301-nucleotide ribosomal RNA is filed under the name uncultured bacterium. RNAcentral's name for it is "partial 16S ribosomal RNA". It matches the Rfam family "Bacterial small subunit ribosomal RNA", at positions 509 to 808 of the family's 1533-position model. The record is from RNAcentral.